CAGUGCCGUUGUGCCAUUAUAUCCUUUCUUCCCCCCUUUCUACAUGUAUUCAGUUCCUGUUCUACAUAUUGUCCAUUAGAAUGAAAUUCUUCCUCUGAUCAGGAACAUCCCAGGUGGAUGGAAAGAAGCGCUCCUCCCUGUUCUGAGUGAACCGGGUCGUGGAUGGAACAUCUCGCCACAGUCUUCUUUCGCAUUUUUCUAUUUUCUUUUUCAUUAUUAAGCUACCUGUAAUCAAAUAUAUUUCCGUUACUUUAGCAAAGCACCACGAGUUCCCUUAAUGUAACUUUAGAGCUGUUGUUCAUUCUUUAAUUAGAAACGACAUGUAUCUAAAUGGGAAUCAAAUUAAAAAAUAUUUAUCAGCGCUUUAGAAAUAAAAACAAUUUGCAAAUUUUUUUAUGUAAUGAGACAGAGAAAUCUAAAUAAAUAAACAAAUGGAUCACCAACAGGGCGGCACCGCUCCCAGAAAUGCCUCGGAGCCGAGUCACUGGAGGAGAGGCAGAAUCCCAGACGUCAAACACACACACACCUACAGUCUGCCGAUUUACGUUCUUGUUGAAAAGCAACAAGAGCAAUCAAGGGAUGGAGAGGUAGGUUGUCGACUAGUUUUUCUAGUUUCUGGAAUCUUUUAAUGAUUGUCACUCAUCCACCAAACGUCAAUGCUUAAUAUGUAGUUAAAAGUCAGUUCAAGUCGCAUCAAAUAGAACAUCAAAUGAUAGAGUGCAAAAGAAACAGAUUUUAAACAUUAUUUAAAUACAAUUAAAACAUGUGGAAUCUAGAUUACUAGAUUAUUAGAUGAAAAUAGGCAGAUGUAAAAUAAGCCAUAAAAGUUUAGAUAAAUUCAGAAUAUUUCAUGAAUCUAAAUCGGCUGAAAGGUAUAAAUAUUAUGAACUUCUCGAUUCUACUUUUCUUCAAGAUUCUUCAAUAGCAGAGACAAAAAAACAUAAAAUACUUGACUACAAAGAGCCUCAAAGCUUCUAGAGAAAGACCACAACCACUAUGAAGAGACACAAAGCAACGCCAAAAAGAUACAAAGAGUCAAAGACUAUAAAAAGGGACCAACCACCAAAAGACACAAAACAACCAUAAACAACUUAGGAGACACAAAAGACAACUUCACAAAACCCUUCAAGCCUUCACAGCGUGAACUAGGCUGCAGCGCCGUUGUGUCUGAUGUGUCUCUUUGUGGGUCUCUGAAUGUCUUUCUAAUGUCUUUUGUCUCACAGCCUGAGCACAUGCCUUGUUCUCGUGUCAGUCGCACAUGAUGCAUCCUGACAUGUUGACUGUUUACAAACAACGCCCUGCUCUUCUGCCAACGUCACAACAACAGCAAAGAAAUGUCCCCACAAAAGAGUGGGCGGGGCUUGUUUCCCUGUAAUACGUCUGUCUCAAACAGCUGUAAUACCUUUAUUUAGAAAUAGGUUUAUAUGAUGUGAUAAUUCAAAACGAGUGUACAUUUAUUUGUGCAAGCACUAAACAAAUAAAAGCUUUUAUUCAGCAGCAGAUUAAACAGUUCUUCCUCAAUUCCUCAAUUUAAACACUUAAAAUCAACAUUAAAAAAAAUAAAUGUCCCCAAGGGCGGUCAGAAGUGUGGCCCGGGGGCCCAUAACUGGUCUUGUAAUGUAUUGUUCAUGGCCCACAAACACUGUUAAAUAAAAAGUGGUCAAUCAAUUGUAAAUAAGUAACGUUCUGUAUAUAUUGUACAAACAAAUGAUGACACGUGUCAACUGUUUAGCCAGGGUUAAUUCAUAAAGUGGAUCAUUAUCACUUGAAUGGUCUCAAUCACUGCUCUGUUAAUAAUGACAAUAAGGCAUUCAUGCUUUCGAUCGCCCGGAUAUUCUCACACUUACAUGAAAGACUCACAACGUCUGUUGAGCUCACACCGAUUAUACUGGCAUUGAAUAAACUGAAGAAAACAAAUUCAUCUUUUCAUAACUUCCAUGUGUCUUCAACCGAGGUGAAAAGUUCAAACCAGAGUCUGGAUAAGAUGGCAGUUUAUUUAAAGUAAUGGCCUCGGCCACAUGACUCCCUGGUGCCCUUUUAAGAUUUUCUUUCCUAAAAUCUUCUUCUCUUUUGGUUGCAGCAAAUCCCAUGAAUAAUAUCUGAUCAGUAAAUAUAAACAUAAACAUAAAGUAAACAUAAAUAUUCCCUAUUCUUUUAUAAUUAAUAUUUUAUCCUAAGGCCUCGGAUCAGUCCAACACCUCCAGGUCAUGUGACUCCAGGUUCUAAAAGCAUCAUCUUUGCUAAAAUGGCAACACAAGGUGACGUCAGAGGGCUCUGCAGAGAGGAAGUAGAGGAAACACCAAAGAAACAUCAUGUUCUCCAGUACAGACCUCAGAGGACCAGACGAACCGCUGUGAGCUCAUCAGCGCUGCACCAGAAGGUCGUACAGGUCCCCUCUCUCCACUAUAUUAAUGUUUAUUUAUUAACAGAUGGGAAUCAAUCAGGAACGGUAAAUAAACCAGAAGCUAACGCAGCGUUCUGCCUUUCUGGAUGAAAGGAUCAGUUAAAUAAACUAAAACUGAAACAAAAGAAUAACCUUCCAAAAGAGACAAUAAUAAUAAUUUGUAAAAGGAGAAGAGGAAGAGCAGCAACAUCAUAGCAGUACAGGGUUCUUAUUAUUAAAGUAGACGGAUGAAAGGGACACAAUUAACAGGGAAGACUUCCGCCUGAAUAAAAAAGUAGAAAGAACCAAAACAAAGAACUUACAACACAUUACAAAGCAAUAUGAACUACAAAGUGUAUUUCGAAUUAGAAUGGAACCUACAAACACACACUAAUGACUUCAUUUGGGUCCUUUCUACGGAUACAAAACCUUUUUAUUUGCAUAAAAAUACACAUUUACCUCUGAAACCUGUUGUUCAUCCGCAAGAAAGCUUUCGAUGAACGGAGACGUUUCCAGCGUGCUCACCUGUGGACCGACCUGUCUCCACGGGGUGGAGAAGAGGGACACCUAGUGGCACCUGUGUGCUGCUACGUCUGUACCGGGGGAGUCCAGGACAAGAAGGACUCCAAAGCAGAAAUACUUUAUUUUAAAGUAAGAAUACAAAAUGUCUACCGGCAAACGGACCAACGAGUCAGACCAAAAGACCACCCAUCAUGGACUAACGAGCCGACAAGGAGACAGGGACACGCAUGGACAAGGAGACAGAGGGAGGGCCAGGCCGGUGGGGGGCUGUCCGGGAGGAAGUCGGCGUAUCUUGCUGCUACUUGUGACCCUGUCUUUUUCGUGUCUCAUUCUCAUUGUCCUCCUCACCCGUUCACCUGUCGGCCCAGUAGCACAUACAGUAUGUGCUUUCAGGGUCCGAUCGAUGCUCAAGGUGCGUCCGCUCCCGCCGCCCCCCUCGCCAUCCACGCCUUAAAUCUUCGGCUGCUCUCCAGCCACGCCGCCUGCCAAGGGCCCGUUUUAGAAUAACCUAUUUUCCCGGAAAGGACUUGCCGAGGACGCAUCGGAGCAAACCCGUUCUUGUGAGAACCAAAUAUCCAAGAAUGCAUUUCACCGCAGAUACAGACAACAACUGUCAACUGAAAGUCGAAUGUUUCUAAAUACUAGUAACGUUAUAUUAAGUCACAUACAGUCAUUUUAGGACUUUUUUAGGCGAGAAGUUAGUUGUUUAAUCCUCAUGUGGACAAACCUCACAUUUCUGUGGUCGG
Gasterosteus aculeatus aculeatus (three-spined stickleback) is the source of this 3651-nucleotide long non-coding RNA. NCBI's taxonomy places the organism in Eukaryota, Metazoa, Chordata, Actinopteri, Perciformes, Gasterosteidae. The record is from Ensembl.